GUGCCAGCCGCCGCGGUAAAACCAGCACCUCAAGUGGUCAGGAUGAUUAUUGGGCCUAAAGCAUCCGUAGCCGGCGCUAUAAGUUUUCGGUUAAAUCUGUACGCUCAACGUACAGGCUGCCGGGAAUACUGUAGCGCUAGGGAGUGGGAGAGGUAGACGGUACUCGGUAGGAAGGGGUAAAAUCCUUUGAUCUAUUGAUGACCACCUGUGGCGAAGGCGGUCUACCAGAACACGUCCGACGGUGAGGGAUGAAAGCUGGGGGAGCAAACCGGAUUAGAUACCCGGGUAGUCCCAGCUGUAAACUAUGCAAACUCAGUGAUGCAUUGGCUUGUGGCCAAUGCAGUGCUGCAGGGAAGCCGUUAAGUUUGCCGCCUGGGAAGUACGUACGCAAGUAUGAAACUUAAAUGAAUUGACGGGG
RNAcentral lists this ribosomal RNA (418 nucleotides) under uncultured archaeon. RNAcentral describes it as "bacterial SSU rRNA". It matches the Rfam family "Archaeal small subunit ribosomal RNA", at positions 455 to 873 of the family's 1478-position model. The record is from RNAcentral.